Molecule: transfer RNA, 73 nt
Filed under: Stegodyphus mimosarum
Lineage: Eukaryota; Metazoa; Arthropoda; Arachnida; Araneae; Eresidae
Rfam family: tRNA
About the family: Transfer RNA (tRNA) molecules are approximately 80 nucleotides in length.
Source: Rfam by way of RNAcentral
GCCUUCGUCGUCUAGUGGUCAGCAUGCUCGGCUUGUAUUCAAGAGAUCCGUGGUUCGAGUCCUGGCGAGCGCA